UACGAAGGGUGCAAGCGUUACUCGGAAUUACUGGGCGUAAAGCGUGCGUAGGUGGUUUGUUAAGUCUGAUGUGAAAGCCCUGGGCUCAACCUGGGAAUUGCAUUGGAUACUGGCAGGCUAGAGUGCGGUAGAGGAUGGCGGAAUUCCCGGUGUAGCAGUGAAAUGCGUAGAGAUCGGGAGGAACACCAGUGGCGAAGGCGGCCUUCUGGACCAAUACUGACGCUCAUGCACGAAAGCGUGGGGAGCAAACAGG
RNAcentral lists this ribosomal RNA (253 nucleotides) under uncultured bacterium. RNAcentral's name for it is "partial 16S ribosomal RNA". It matches the Rfam family "Bacterial small subunit ribosomal RNA", at positions 524 to 776 of the family's 1533-position model. The record is from RNAcentral.